Molecule: ribosomal RNA, 253 nt
Filed under: uncultured microorganism
Description: partial 16S ribosomal RNA
Rfam family: Bacterial small subunit ribosomal RNA
Source: RNAcentral
UACGUAGGGUGCGAGCGUUAAUCGGAUUUACUGGGCGUAAAGCGUGCGCAGGCGGCCCGUUAAGACAGGUGUGAAAUCCCUGGGCUCAACCUAGGAAUUGCGCUUGUGACUGCAGGGCUAGAGUACGGUAGAGGGGGGUGGAAUUCCUGGUGUAGCAGUGAAAUGCGUAGAGAUCAGGAGGAACACCGAUGGCGAAGGCAGCCCCCUGGGCCUGUACUGACGCUCAUGCACGAAAGCGUGGGGAGCAAACAGG